Molecule: ribosomal RNA, 451 nt
Filed under: uncultured bacterium
Lineage: Bacteria
Description: partial 16S ribosomal RNA
Rfam family: Bacterial small subunit ribosomal RNA
Source: RNAcentral
AACGAACGCUGGCGGCAGGCUUAACACAUGCAAGUCGAACGGUUGUAGCAAUACAGCAGUGGCAGACGGGUGAGUAACACGUGGGAACCUUCCUAGGGGUACGGAACAACUCAGGGAAACUUGAGCUAAUACCGUAUACGUCCGUGAGGAGAAAGAUUUAUCGCCCUUAGACGGGCCCGCGUCGGAUUAGCUAGUUGGUGGGGUAACGGCCUACCAAGGCGACGAUCCGUAGCUGAUCUUAGAGGAUGAUCAGCCACACUGGGACUGAGACACGGCCCAGACUCCUACGGGAGGCAGCAGUGGGGAAUCUUGGACAAUGGGCGCAAGCCUGAUCCAGCCAUGCCGCGUGAGUGAAGAAGGUCUUCGGAUUGUAAAGCUCUUUUGCCAGGGACGAUAAUGACGGCACCUGGAGAAUAAGCCCCGGCAAACUUCGUGCCAGCCGCCGCCGCAG